GCGACUGUGGCGAAGUGGUUAACGCACCGGAUUGUGGCUCCGGCACUCGUGGGUUCGAUUCCCAUCAGUCGCC
This is a transfer RNA of 73 nucleotides. It matches the Rfam family "tRNA". From Rfam's summary of the family: Transfer RNA (tRNA) molecules are approximately 80 nucleotides in length. Their secondary structure includes four short double-helical elements and three loops (D, anti-codon, and T loops). The record is from Rfam.